CCCUCUCGGUAAAGAAAUGCUUCCUCAUGUCCAGUCUCAACCUCCCUUGAUGCAGCUUUGAGCCAUUCCCAUGUGUCCUGUCCCUGGAUCCUGGGGAGAAGAGCUCAGCACCUCCCUCUCCACGUCCCUUUCUCAGGAGCCUGCAGAGAGCGAUGAG
This is a long non-coding RNA of Egretta garzetta (little egret), 157 nucleotides long. RefSeq lists it as uncharacterized. NCBI's taxonomy places the organism in Eukaryota, Metazoa, Chordata, Aves, Pelecaniformes, Ardeidae. The transcript is spliced from 3 exons. The record is from RefSeq and is a predicted model, not a curated record.